GCGGUCGUGGCGAAAUUGGUAGACGCACCACUUUGAGGGGGUGGCGGAGAAAUCCAUAUGAGUUCGACUCUCAUCGACCGCA
This 82-nucleotide transfer RNA is filed under the name Mesosutterella multiformis. It matches the Rfam family "tRNA". From Rfam's summary of the family: Transfer RNA (tRNA) molecules are approximately 80 nucleotides in length. Their secondary structure includes four short double-helical elements and three loops (D, anti-codon, and T loops). Further hydrogen bonds mediate the characteristic L-shaped molecular structure. tRNAs have two regions of fundamental functional importance: the anti-codon, which is responsible for specific mRNA codon recognition, and the 3' end, to which the tRNAs corresponding amino acid is attached (by aminoacyl-tRNA synthetases). tRNAs cope with the degeneracy of the genetic code in two manners: having more than one tRNA (with a specific anti-codon) for a particular amino acid; and 'wobble' base-pairing, i.e. permitting non-standard base-pairing at the 3rd anti-codon position. The record is from Rfam by way of RNAcentral. Lineage: Bacteria; Pseudomonadati; Pseudomonadota; Betaproteobacteria; Burkholderiales; Sutterellaceae.